GCUGCUGUAGCUCAGUGGUAGAGCACUCCCUUGGUAAGGGAGAGGCCGAGAGUUCAAUUCUCUCCAGCAGCACCA
RNAcentral lists this transfer RNA (75 nucleotides) under Aestuariivita sp. RNAcentral's name for it is "tRNA-Thr". It matches the Rfam family "tRNA". Rfam says of the family: Transfer RNA (tRNA) molecules are approximately 80 nucleotides in length. Their secondary structure includes four short double-helical elements and three loops (D, anti-codon, and T loops). RNAcentral also lists the same sequence under 3 other names. The record is from RNAcentral. Lineage: Bacteria; Pseudomonadati; Pseudomonadota; Alphaproteobacteria; Rhodobacterales; Paracoccaceae.